GACGGAGGGUGCAAGCGUUGCUCGGAAUCACUGGGCGUAAAGGGUGCGUAGGCGGCUGCGCAAGUCUGGCGUGAAAGCCCCGGGCUCAGCCCGGGAAGGGCGCUCGAAACGGCGCGGCUAGAGUGCCGGAGGGGAGAGUGGAAUUCCUGGUGCAGCGGUGAAAUGCGUAGAUAUCAGGAGGAACACCGGUGGCGAAAGCGACUCUCUGGACGGCAACUGACGCUGAGGCACGAAAGCGUGGGGAGCAAACAGG
This 253-nucleotide ribosomal RNA is filed under the name uncultured bacterium. Its description in RNAcentral is "partial 16S ribosomal RNA". It matches the Rfam family "Bacterial small subunit ribosomal RNA", at positions 524 to 776 of the family's 1533-position model. The record is from RNAcentral.